GCCUCGUAUGGGAUGCUAAGUUAAGCACUCAUACUCUGGGAGAAGCAGGCCCUGGUAGCUGUCCCUGCUGGGUGCACCACGGGAAGAGGAACUGGCUUCUUUCCCUUCUCUCAAUUCGGCCUUCAUCUUCACCCAGCAGGUUUGCAACUAUUAAGUGUAGGAACCACAUGUACCACCAGAUGAGGCCAUCGAUUGUGAGGAAGACAAAAGGCAUCUGUCCCUAGGCGCAGGUCAAGCUCCAGAUUUGGUACUGAGUGCUUUUCUCUGAAACUGGCUGAACGCAAGUUUGGGACGCUCCUCUCCUCUCAGCACAGACUUAAACAGAAAGCGGCACCUCUCCUCCCAGCUUCUGCCUCCUUUCCAGAGAGUCUCUACACUGGACCAAGUUUAUAAACUUCAUGACUAUGCUGGCAAAACUGCAGUGAUGUGGGAGCCAGGCAGAUAGUCACCGUUUUCCAAAUGGCUGCUAUUGCAGAAAGGCAGGCUGUGCUCUGUGGCUACGCGGUAACCCUGACAAGUAACCCCAGAAGCUCAGCCCACUCCUCCCAACCUUUCCGUUAAAUUAUCACCCGCGCCUUCUUUACCACUAAAUCUGAGUGAACUCAUUCUGGCAAGAAACAAAGGCUGAUAUAAGAAGGAAUCAAAAUCUUACCUCGAAAAUGCCUUCAACCCAGAUUUUGUCCGAGACGAGAACACAAAUGCAGGCAUACGUUUUUCAGAAGACACCUGUCUUUGUUACAGUCCUGGAUCUGAAUGUGUCCCGACUCAGGAUCUGCCACGGCCAAGUCCUCUCUGCUCUGCAAUGACAAGAGAGCUCCGAGUCAAACUCACUGGAAGGCCCACCUAAGCCUGAGAUGUACGGCUGUUUGCGGCUACACGCACCUUGAAGUUGUUACUCUUUGUUCACCAAGAAAAUGAAAUUUCAAGGAACCAAAAAUAUUUGUCAUUUCAGGACAUUAAAAUCAAGAGUGGAUUUCAACCAAAAUCUUCUCUCAUGGUCCUUACGUCACCUCUGAACUCCUCCACCCUGCUCCUAACUUGUUCUCCAGCUCUCCCCGUGGUCUUGUGAUGGCUGCUCCUCACUUCGGCAUGGCUCGUCUUGGGAUGCAGACAAAAAUGGGCUCCUUGUGUGUUGUCUUCUUUAUGGUGCACUAAUGCAUGGCCAGUUAUAAUUUAGCCCAAGGGUAGCAUCAUGCAGUAAACCACACUACAGUAAUUACUAGCUUCUGCAGUGUUAUUUACGGGACUACCCUACUAGGGUUAUUUUAUAACAUUGUUAUAGAUUAAUAGUGAUACCGCUGCCUUCAGUGUGCAGACUUUGCUAUGGGUUAAGACCCAUGGAGGCCUGUACCAUUCAAGAGAGCCAUGCAAUAAAAAUAAAAGAAUCAUUUCUAGUAAGUUCUGACUCUGAUUAAAAAACAAUCUUUAUGAAAUAGACGCUAAUAAAAUUGCUUUCCUAAUUACCCAGAGCUAGUUCAUUUCCCAGCAAAUAUAAUAAAACAGAGUUACUUGGCUCUGAUUCACAAAAUCUGAACCCAAGCUCAUUAUUAAGGCAUUUAGCAGUGAAAAAGCAUGUGUGCAUAAGAUGCUGUCCCGUCAAGCAGAAUGCAAGAAAUCUUUUGAAGUUAGACCUUUGAAGUCUCAAGUUAUUGCUGCAUUUUUUUAACGCAGGUAUUUCAACAAGAGAAAAUCUCUCUGUGUUAUUUACACAGAUGGAACAGGGCACCCUAUUAUACCAUCAUAUUCAGUGGAGAUUUCGGUUAGAAGCAGAAAGUCUUAAUUUAAAGAAAUAUUUAGAGCUAGUACAUAGCACUUCUUAAUCUGUGGAACCAUUACAAGGCUGCAAGACUUUUACAUAAUAGAAUAGACCAGCCAGCGUCCCAAGGCUAUUAUUGCUAUGACUUGUAACACACUGAAAUCUCUUUCAUCUGCCUAACCUGGGAUUUUGAUUAUUGUAAAUGCAUGAAUAUCUUUGUUUAGGGGGUUAUGUUUAUGUUUUAUUUAUUUGUGCUUAUGUUCUGCUUUCUUCAAAACUUUCUGUUUUUGCUAGAUGCGCAGAUGUUCUACCAGGCUCUCCUGUUCUCCUCACUCUGCUAGGAGCACCUGCAACAUCCUGAGCUUGAUUCCCACAGUGACUGCAGGCUGGAGCUCCAGAUUUCUAAGAAUGCAGAGUGCUGGGACAGGACGGGGCAGGACACCAGCUUCUCCACUACAGGAAGCACAUGGAGAGAGAGACCUGAUAUGCACAAGCUACGCUGGUGGAAGUGCAGACAGAGAACCUCAGUGGUACCAGGGUAAGAAGGGCUCAGAGGAUCAGAGCUCCCAAAUCAUGCACAGGCCGGGGACACUUCUGAAGGCAUUAUCUCUGCAAAUCCAUCCCAUCCUCUCGCACUCCAAAGCAACAGUGCCUUUAUUUGAGUUUGACUUUUUUAGGUGUUUACAAAGACCUGUUUUCUUCUCCAUAUCAAAUACCUACGAUGCACCCUGCCAGGAAAGGUAUACUCCAGGUUCAAAACUCCUAGAAUUUAAAUGGUACAAACUCCUGGUUUGUACCCAGGUUCAAAACCUGGGUACAAUCUAAUAUUACUGAAAGCAUUUUAAAAGUAUAAAGAGAUCUUAGGAAGUCACCCUCUGCCUCUCUGCUUCAUGUCAGGAGCAUCUACACCUAAACCCUUCCCAACAGCUGCUUCCUGAGAGCACUCCUCUACUUUCCAGACCGCAGCAAGCCCUUUGAGCUAGCUGGUUAAGGUGGCCCCUGCAGCCCAGGGACACUCAGCAGCCUCCAUCCCGUGCCAGUAGGAUGUGCCACCUGAUCUCUCUGUGCCUUGUGGUUUUUUUUGGCACCCGUGUACUGUAUCUGCCUAGUGUGGAGACAAUCCCAUUGCAGACCAAAUGCCCAUCCUGGCAGACAGACGGACACAUUCCCCUGAGGACAGGAAAGAGGAGGGAAAUUCCCCCCUGCAGACCUGUCCAUAGGGCUGCUCCCCAGCUAACUUUUGGGCUACAGCUUGUGCUUUCAACAGAACACUCAGGAUGUAAACCCAUCCUAUACUCAUCCAGAGCCAGACCUCCAUAAAAUUAGCAAUUCUAAAGACAUUUCCAUGCUAUAAAAGUAACAGAUUAGUACUUGUUUUGGUUUAAAUUUGUCAUACUAUUUAUAUUUGAAGAAAAAAAAAAAGAAAAAAAAAAAUGUUUAGAAAAAGCUCUCAACCUAAACCCUGUCUCACUGCUAAAGCGAGCUGCUUCUCCUUCAAAUCAAUGCGUCUCCAAUGCCCUUGGAAGUGACUGCAGGACCAGGGCCUUCGGUAGCAAUUCUCUUGGUGCUGCAUGAGUCAGAAAAGAAUCCAGCUGCCUCUGUAGAGCGCUAUGGGUUCCACUAAGCUCCUUGGGGACAAAAAGCAGGAAAAGCUUCUUUCAAUCAGUGGAUUAAGCAGCUACGACUCAGAAUUCACAUCAGAGAUGAUCUGUGGAGUGAGAAGGUGCCGUUUUUACACAGUCCUUUCCUUAACCAUAGCCACGCCGCAGCGCAGCUUGCUGCGGCUUGCGCACACCUCCUGUCCCCUCCUGCCGCUUGUGGUGGCAUCUGCGAUACCUCGGCUCCAGGGGAUGUGCUAAGGAUAAAGUUUCUAUCUCAACUUCAGAUUGCUUUGUUUUUUUGCGGUGGUAAGUUAGAUCCUUAACAUUAUCUUAAUGCACUUUUUAUGGUUUAAUUUCCCCUUUUGUGGUGCUGUUUUCCUCAAUAAGACUCUUAAAUUGAAAUCAGAUUUCCUCUGAAGGAGCCAGCCUGAUUUUCUUCGAAAGCCCAGUACAAUACAGUCAUUCCGCUGAGACUGACAAUUUUAUUAUGGUUGCAUUUCCUUUUUGCCUACAAAAUGUUUGUUUUAUAAAUAGGCCUUUUUAAUUUAAUGUAAUUUUUGUACAACAGCAGAAACAGUCAAAAAAAACACACAACACAGCUACAAAAUUUUGUUUUUCUUAUACACGCCUUCCUUAAUUUACUUUCUGUUGGCUGGGGAGGGGAAAUCAACUUUUUACCUAAGGCAAAAUGUAUGUAAAAUAUCAAUCUAAAGUAAAACUCAGCUCCCCUGCCUUCAAGCCACAUAUCACUGAAGAUGUAGUCUUGUAAUUAAAAAUAGCAAACAAAAAAAAAGGCCUACAAACAAAAUAACUACAUUGCACUUUAAUGAAUGAGACAACUACAAGCAGAAACAUGACAAGGACUAUGGAAACUAAUCAACUGACAAUUGCUUUUACAAUUUUUACACCACUCAUGAUUUAACAAGGGGGGUGGUUUUGUUUUUUUUCAUCACAUGCUUAAUUUUAAGCAUGUGAAAAGUUCCAUUGGCCUCAGUGGCAUUUUUGUUUGUUUGGUUGGUUUUUUUAUACCUUUAAGAUUGCCUAAAUGCUUAAGCAUCUUGUGGAAUUAUGGUCUCCCUUUGGACUGUCAAAUUGCUCUUGUAUCUAUUUGCUCCAAGAGGACGCAAAGCCUGCUGUGGGGAGCUCCAGCUCUCCGUGCACAUCCCACUGGACAAAUCUAGGUCACGCAGCACGAGCUAGUUCAUCGUCCCCAUCCCCAUCCUGGCCAUGAGCUGGUCCCACAUGCCUGGCUCUUCUCCCUACAUAGCCAGAGUGGAAAAGGAAGGCAGGAGAAAGAAAGAUUUGUUGACCUCAUAACAGCACUGGGAUGCAGCUGAACAUGACGUUGGCCUCAGGGGCUAAAAGCACUGGUUAAACUGGGAGCAGUCUUCACUGCCCAGCUUGGUGUCACCUUUUGGGGUCCGCAGCACAGAGCACACCUCUGCCAGAAUUUAUGCUUCCCCUACAAGUCCUGACAAUCAAAUGGCGCAUCCAUUCAAACAGCCAUCUAAUAGAAAAGGAGGAAAGUCUUCCUGACACACGCAUCCAGAUUACUUUUUAUAUUUCUGUAGUCAUCAACAACUGGUCUGAAUUGCUCUGUAAUGGUUUAAAUUCUGGUAACAGGUUUCAUAUGCUUGCUAUAACAUCUCAGCGUAUUAAUUAGUUUUCAAGACCCCCAAGCAAUAAAAAUGUAGCCAUUCAAGGUCACAGUUUGACUUAUUUACAAUUGAUGUAUAACUUGGCAAACUCUGCAUUCAGCUACUUCGUACAAUAGAAAAUAUAUUGUCAUUCAGGUUAACAAAAGACUCUUUUCUUUGCCACCUCACUACAAUGGCCCUGCAAAUGAACAUCGCCUGAAUAAAAUCCUAACCACAUUUUCACUCUCAUUAACCACAGUAGGGUAUCACACAAUUUGCCUGGCUCCUACUUAGACCACUGUGCACCAUUUUACUAGCAGCAGUUUGAUGGGUUUUAUGGCAGGUGAUAUAUGGAGUGGGAGUUUCGGGAGUCGUAAACAGAAGCCACAGUGUAUCACAAUGUGGUUUAGGGAUAUAAUGACUGUGUUGUAAAGCAAAGGAUGACAAUACUGCACUAGGCUUGAGGUAGUGAACCAAUAGACCAAACAGCUCAACAUAAUUCAAGCUACAAACAGAGGAUCCUAGGUGUGUGCUGGCCUUCCUAUAUCUUUCAUUAAUUACCCCUGAUGAAUUUGAAUACGAACUACUAAAACUGAAAUAAAUCUGUAUCCAAGAGAAAAAUUAUAGAGUAACUCCUUGUAUUUCUUGGAAGAAGUUCCUCUGCCCCAGUGCACAAACACACAUCCCACACUAGCAGUUCUGAACCAACCUUUUGCAUCUCCUUUGCUGCUGGGGCUAUCAUCACUUACUGCCAAGCCAGAACAAAUGCCAGCCUGGAGACCUUUUGCACACAAGCAGGGGGCAGGUUCUGCUCUUAGCUACGUCUGCAGAAGCUGGGCUGAAUGCUACUCUGAGCAGAAAUACCUCCCUACAUAUAUUGUUCAUAUUUAUUCAUGCUCUGACAUCAGACAAUGCUCUACUUUUUCCAUGGAGCACUACUGGGUUCUGCCAGUCCUACCAAUGCUCUUAAUUCACAUCCUAGCUUGAUCACUUUUGUGGCUGAUUCAUUUGUGCCUGGCUGAUCCUGCUGUGCUGUAUUUGGAUUGGGAUUUCUGCAGUGGUCCUGUACUGGUCAAUCCCUGCAAGUCUUGCAGAGGUGUGGUUUUGGUGUUUUUUUGUUUGUUUGUUUGUUUGUUUUGUUGUUGUUGUUUGAUUUUGUUUUGUUUUGGUUUGUUUGUUUUGUUUGUUGUUUUUUUUGGGGGGGGUUGUUGGUUGGUUACAGAUCUUGUCUAAUUAUGGCACAGAAUAAGAAAAUUGUCUACCUGGUUCCCCAAGCUGUGUCAUUAGCCACAUUGUGAUAGAUUGGUGUCAGUGACAGAGCUUUCUCCCAGCAUUCAAAGCCUGCUCAGUUGCGUUUAAACUAAAUAACAAUACUUAGCGCAUCUAGUGCUUUGCAUAUUCAAAGCGCUGUACAAACAUCAAUUAAUUAAUCCUCAUAACAUCCCUGUGAGGUAGGUAAGUAUUAUCUCAGUUUUACAGAUGGGGAAACAGACACAGAGAGGUUAAGUAAAAUGAAAAAUUAAAGUGGAGGUGUGCUGGUUAAUUUGGAACUGCACUUUGUGCUGUUUGAAAAAUUAGAAGGUGCUGUACCAGAUCUCCAUUAUUCUGCCAGAGAAAGCUACAUUUUGAUGUGCUGACUCCCCUGGUAGGAGCCACUGCCACAGUCAGGUACCCUGAAGCUGAACCUUCAUGUUCUCCGGCUGGGGAGCACACAUGAAAAAUUCCCACUAAAAGUAUCCUUCUGCCUAAAGUAAAACGUAGGCAGAGGUAUCUCCUGCUUCCAAGCAUAUUCCAUAACUAUGAGAAAAGAUUUUGAGAUAAAUAAUCUAUUUUGGUAAAAUCACUAGGAAGGAGCUAAGACAUGACCUGCUUGGAGAGCUAGAAAUUAUUAUCCCCAACACUCUAGAUAAUUGUCCUUUGCUCCUAUUAUUUGUAUUGCCAAGUCACAGACCAACACCAGGAAGGAACAGACCUCAUGUUGCAUAGGAAGGAGACUCCAGCCCAAAGAAACAGUGAGCAUGCCUUAACUCUGAAAAGAAAAAAAAAAUAUGAAGUGCAAGAGACAUACCAGCUUGAGGAAAUCACCCAGGUUUGCUAAAGAAGUGCAAGUUCGGCUCUGUUUUCCUGUAGCUGAAGUGCUUUUGAUUUUCAAAAGAAGAACCAUUAACUAAAGCGAAGUCCAGUGUUUUACUGGCUAAACCUAAGCCUGUGCACUACUGCCUGCUUUU
Non-coding RNA from Anas platyrhynchos (mallard), 7222 nucleotides. Lineage: Eukaryota; Metazoa; Chordata; Aves; Anseriformes; Anatidae. The record is from RefSeq and is a predicted model, not a curated record.